UACGAAGGGGGCUAGCGUUGCUCGGAAUUACUGGGCGUAAAGCGCACGUAGGCGGCUCUUUAAGUCGGAGGUGAAAUCCUGGAGCUCAACUCCAGAACUGCCUUCGAUACUGAAGAGCUCGAGUCCGGGAGAGGUGAGUGGAACUGCGAGUGUAGAGGUGAAAUUCGUAGAUAUUCGCAAGAACACCAGUGGCAAAGGCGGCUCACUGGCCCGGUACUGACGCUGAGGUGCGAAAGCGUGGGGAGCAAACAGG
Molecule: ribosomal RNA, 253 nt
Filed under: uncultured bacterium
Lineage: Bacteria
Description: partial 16S ribosomal RNA
Rfam family: Bacterial small subunit ribosomal RNA
Source: RNAcentral